This 581-nucleotide ribosomal RNA is filed under the name Chromelosporium carneum. RNAcentral's name for it is "eukaryotic LSU rRNA". The stretch from base 243 to 396 matches the Rfam family "5.8S ribosomal RNA". The record is from RNAcentral. Lineage: Eukaryota; Fungi; Ascomycota; Pezizomycetes; Pezizales; Pezizaceae.
AAGUGAACAAGGUUUCCGUAGGUGAACCUGCGGAAGGAUCAUUACUGAAUAACUAAAUCUUUAGUUUUUCAUACCCCAUUGUUGACUUACCCAUGUUGCUUCCACGUGGACAGGCGUUCAUUCUGCCCUCUGGCUUGUUGUGCUUACCCCACACUUGACAGGGAGUUGCCCGUGGUAAGACCCCAAUAUUACACUUGUUAUAUAUACUAUAAUGUCUGAAUAAAUCAUUUCAAAUGAAAUAAAACUUUCAACAACGGAUCUCUAGGCUCUUGCAUCGAUGAAGAACGCAGUGAAAUGCGAUAAGUAAUGUGAAUUGCAGAAUCUCGUGAAUCAUCGAAUCUUUGAACGCACAUUGCGCCCUAUGGUAUUCCGUAGGGCAUGCCUGUCUGAGCGUCAGCUCCCCCCAACUCAAACUUUUGUUAGUUUGGAUUACUUUGAAGGUGUAGCUUGUCAAAGCUGCUUUUCAGAAAUUCAUAGGCAGUAUGGUUAUUCCUAGACCAGACGUAAUAAUAAUAAAACCGUCUUUUUGGGAAAGAAUUGUGCUUGCCUCAACCCACCCAUUAUCUUUUUACUUGGGUGAC